GGACCGCGCUCUGAGGUCAGCACAAUUACUAGCCCCACUUUAGAUGAGAUAACCAAGGCACAGAUGUUAACUAACCUGCCCAAGACCACACAGUACUGAAUGGUGGAGACAGGAUUCAGACCCAAGUAGCCAAGCUGACUGCGACUGCCGGGAUGGGGCGUGGGGGAGGCGCUGGCAGGGUGUUGGGGAGCAGAGGGCCCCCCCACCCCACGCAGCGCCCCGCAGAUCCGCCAGCCAGAGUCGGGUUGGGCGCGGUGCCUUCCGCGGUCGCCAUGGCAACGCGAGCAGGGUGGGAAAGAGGGGAGACAGUGGGGGAGGAGAGCGGCCUCUGCGCAUUGAUCUCGCUUCAGUCAGAUUCAAUCCCGAGUGAAAAUGGAUUUUUUAAUGCGUCUAUUAGCUGCUUUGAAAACGCAAAUUGAGUUCAGGAGAGACGGAGGCCGCCAUCAGAAAACAAUUUGGCGUCUGAGGUCCUGGGGUGCAGGGGUCGCCCCAGAACGAGGUACCCACCCCUCAAGCGGGAGCUUAAGUCUUGGCAAGGGGGAAGGGAGGAGGUACCCUGCGGCUGUUACCCCUCCCCAACCCCCAAGGUAAGGGGUUCUAGCGGGAGACAAGGGGCAGCUCUUCCAUAGAAAAGAACAAAUUGCGGGCCCCGGAGAGAAGCUAGUUCGUGAACGGCACAAUCCCGGAAGGCUUCCUGGAUGAGGCAGAAUUCUGAGGGGCCUUUGAAAAUUCACCUUCAGCAGAUCCCAGGCUCAGGCGAAAAAAAAGGCCCAGCAAACUUUGGCCCAGCGCUUUAGAAUGUAUGAAAGGCUCCUUCGCUAGCUCUUCCUUACUUGAGUCCUCCUAAGGGCUACGGAGAGUAGAUUGCUAACCCAUUUCACAGUUAAGAAAAUCGAUGAGGGGCAGUGCCCACCUGGAAACCCCAAGAAUGUUACUAAAGGUUUGGGAGACAACUGAAAGAGCCCUGAGAGGGUAUGGUUACUGCUCCACGACUUCCCCCCUGCUCAAAUCUCCAGGUCUCUCAUCACCCUCACCCACAACCUCAGAAAGAAUGUCAUCUCCUCCCUUCAACCCAAGACUCAAGCCAUUCCUGCAGCAAGAACAUGCAUCCCAUCCCUUGGAGUCUGCAUCAGGCUUGUCCACUCUGGAAUCCAGAGCUGGGCCUACAGGAGGUGCUCAGUAUUGACUAGUUGAAUGAAUGGAUGAGACCCUGCUUCCGGGUCUGGCAAGGCAAUCAUACCAAGUGUAUGCAUAUUUCCUGUCUUCUGGGUUAUUCAGCUUCAAAGUGACAGCAUGUUGGGACAGCCACAGCUUUGGUCUAAAUGCACAUUUAGGAAAAACAUUUCUCUAAUGCUUCAAGGGCACAGGCAGGCUAGAGGAGCUCCUGAUCUCCAUAACUAAAUAGCACACUUCACCUUGCAAACUGCGGCAUCUGUGCUCCAAUUUGCAGUGACUUUACAGGUUCCUCCAAGAACAAAUAGGGCAGAUUUUUGCUUGUUUGUAACUACAGGGCCCAGCCUGGGAUGGAGGAGAAGCCAAGGCAGCGUGUUCCAAAGCCUUAGCUCUCCACCUUCAGAAGCCCAAACUGCUGCCACCCCCAGCUGGCCUCACCCUGGAAAGAGCAAGGCAAGGUCUUUGUGACCCAAGCGGCCCCUGGAAUUCCAAGGUCAUUCACUCCAUUCAUUUGUUUCAAUAAAUAUUUGCAGGAUAACUCCAUACGCACUGUCUCAAGCUUUGAAAUUUAGUAGAAAAUAAAGUCCCUGCCCACUCAGCACUUUUGUUCUCCUGGGAGAGACACAAUCAAUAUACUCUGGGAUGGGAAGGGGAGGGGGUGUAAGAUCUGUGAAGGAGAAUGAGGUGAGUCAGUGGCUGGAGUGAUGCAGGGUUGCGAAUGGGGGUUUCUGUUUGAGGAGCGGUCAGGAAAUGCCUCUCUGGGAAGGCCACUUUGUUCAUUGAAAGUAAGUGAGCCAGAAAUGGGGGAGGGGAGGGAGGAUUGGGAAGAGAAAGGGAAAGAAAGGAAGGAAAGGGGACUGGACAAACAUCAGAGGGCUGCCCCACUGAGUCUCACAGGCCUUGGCUAGAGAUCUGACGGGAACCCUGGAGGGUUUAAAGCAGGGACCUGAAAGACUGUAAUUUACAUGUUCACAAGGUCCCGCUGGCUGAAGCAUCAGACCUGUAUGAGGGAGUAGGGACAGGAGGCGGGUUCUAAAUAACCCAGGUUAAGUGAAAUAGGAGGGAAGGGGCCAGGGCACAACUCUUUAAGAAAGACACAGCCAUCACGGAUAUGACAUAAACUGGUUAGAACCAACGAGGUCCAAGAUGGCAGAAGAUUCGCCUUCCAGUAGACCUUGAGGCUCAUUAUACACUGAUUAUAAUACGAUUAGCUAAAUGACACACCCACAAGCACCAGGACAGUUCCAAGGCGGACCAUAAAAGGCCAAAAAGCAGGCAGUGGCCCAGUUCCUGGAAGUUCCCACCCCUUCCUUGAAAUAGUUGGAAUAAUCCUCCCACUCAUUAGCCUGUGAAAUUACCCAGCCCAUAAAAACUAACCACACCAUGUUUCAGGGCCUCCUGACUUCUAAGAUAGCCCACAUUCUGUCUCUGGAGCGUCUUUCUCCCAGAGCCGCUCUCACGCUUUCUGCCUAUGGGAGGUGUAUCUCUCUAAAUAAAUCCGCUUACCUAUCUCUUUGCAUCUCGCUGAAUUCCUUCUGCGCUGAGACACAAAGAACCUGAGCGUCAUUAAGUUAACCAUUAACCUCCUGAGACCAGGUGUACAAUCUCAAUUGAAAGACUGUAGGUUCGUCUCCCAGCCCAUGAGUUCAAGUCUGGUUUUUGGCUGGGUUUGAGACCUAUCUGAGCUGUGCAGGUUCAUAAGGAUAAUGGUGGUUUGCACCAGGUGGGAAGAAGCAGUUGGAUUUUGAAACUCCUACAGGCAAGUCAUCAAGGACUGGCUGGCACAUUGGAUGCAGGGUGGCAAUUAGGGAUCAAAGUUGAUCCCAUGGUUUCUGACCUUGAGGCUGGUGGGGCCUCUUAUUGAGAGGAGAGAGGGGCAGGUUAGGGGGUGGUCAAACGUCUGGAUCUGCACAUGCUAAGGUGGAGCUGCCUGGUGAUGGGUUUGAGAAUGUGCUACCCCAAAAUAUGGCACCUUGGAUAGUAAAUAUUUUAAGCUGAGCAUGUUUAAAAAUAGCAGAAGCAGGACGGUCACCCGGAGGAAAGGAGCUUCCUCAUCUCCAAAGACAAAAUGAUGACAAGAUGGAAUCUAAGAAACGGGCCUUGCCGAGUUCCCCUAGUUAAUUACACUUACCUUUCACUCUAACCUGUCACAUUUCUGUGCAACUGGCUACUCGUCAUCAAACCUAGCGCAAAAACACUCAGGUCUAACUGUCUCUUCAGUUUUGUGUUCCUUAUGAAGGCUCCUGUGUCAUCAUGUAAAACUUAUGUGAAUUAAAUGUGUAUACUUUUCUCCUGGGAAUCUGUCAGCUUAAUUGUCAGGCCCAGUCAGGGUCCUAAGAGGGUCACGGAAAACUUCCCUUCCCUCUCCUGGCAAAACUGGGGACUGGGGAGGGGGCCACACAAGUCAAGUUCAGGUGCAAGAGCAGAAAGCUGGAGACGCACGACUGGGAGCCAAAACCACAGAAGGCUCUAGGGAGAGGGUACAGCCGGAGAAGUAAGGGGGUCUGUGGCCCGAGCCCUGGACACACAAACAUCCAGAGGUCAUUGGCUGGGGCCCCAUCCUGCGUAAAGCUUCCCAGUGNNNNNNNNNNNNNNNNNNNNNNNNNNNNNNNNNNNNNNNNNNNNNNNNNNNNNNNNNNNNNNNNNNNNNNNNNNNNNNNNNNNNNNNNNNNNNNNNNNNGGUCAUUGGCUGGGGCCCCAUCCUGCGUAAAGCUUCCCAGUGGACCUCUGGCUGCAGGCUGCCAGGUCCUGGAUGAUCUCUGCUUGGGGUCUCUGACUAAAUGCUGCUCUGGUCUCGUUUAACAAAGCCUAAAAGCAAGACAAAAAGAUUGAACCGUUUCCAAGUAACUUAACCACAUUCUGGACAAACCUCAAGAAUAUUUCUAUGUAUACAAAAAUUACCAGCACCCUAGGAAGUAAAAUUCACAAUAUCUGGCAUCCAAUGAGAAAUUACCAGGUAUACAAAGACAGAGGAAAAUGCGAUGCAUAAUAAGAAAAUAAAUCAAUCAAGUUGAAACCAACACAAAAUGACACAAUGACAGAAUUAGUAGACAAGGAUAUUCAAAUAGUUCUUAUAACUCCACAAGUCAUUUGGGGGGGCUUGUUCUACCUCAAGGACACUGGUGCUGGCAAGCACCAUUUUGGAGUCUUUCAUCUAGUCUAUUAGUGCCAGGAGCUUACCUACCAACCAGCUGGCCAUCGCUAGUUCCAGGGCCCCCUGAACCAAAGAGACAGCCACACUGGGACCUGCCCACCCCACCCCAUUAAUGGGCUGGCCCCAGCUCCAGGACCUGGCCCCACCCACCAGCAGGCAGCAGUCAACCAGGCCAGGGAUCGGCCCCGCCCA
This 4519-nucleotide long non-coding RNA is filed under the name Capra hircus (goat). Its description in RNAcentral is "lncRNA (ENSCHIG00010020100.1)". Lineage: Eukaryota; Metazoa; Chordata; Mammalia; Artiodactyla; Bovidae. The record is from RNAcentral.